ACCUUGCUGACGAGUGCCGAAUAACACGAAACCCGGGUUCAGGGU
Non-coding RNA from Schistosoma curassoni, 45 nucleotides. NCBI's taxonomy places the organism in Eukaryota, Metazoa, Platyhelminthes, Trematoda, Strigeidida, Schistosomatidae. The record is from Rfam.